This 1408-nucleotide long non-coding RNA is filed under the name Homo sapiens (human). Its description in RNAcentral is "HSALNT0296577". Lineage: Eukaryota; Metazoa; Chordata; Mammalia; Primates; Hominidae. The record is from RNAcentral.
UAAAUACAAACAUGCACGCAUGUACACGUACAUACACAUAUCUUGGAUGUUAGCUUUAAUUAAGCUGACUUUUAACCAAUGAACUCCUAAAAAAAUAAAAUUCCUUCCUAGAGGCCUCUCAGCAGGAAUGUACCCUAUAACUCCCAUUUUCAAGUUUACAUGGUAUCAAAAGAUUAUUCCUUUUGAUAUUGGUCUAAAUUAUUCCUUACACAAACAAGUGGAGACAAAUUUUGAACAACACAAGGGGGAGUGCACUCAGGCAAAACAGACUCAGAACCAACUCAAAACCUGAUCUCAAUCAAAAUGCAAAGCAGAUAUAUGAGAGAGCCUUAUUGCUUCCCUUGGCGGUAUCAGACAAAUGGCUUACCAAGCCCAGAUAGGAAACAGUAGGCUCCUAGCAUAGAAUCUGGUUAACUCACCCUUUGAGCGCAUCUGCUCCUGAUCUCUGUUUCUCCUCAGUAGUGAAAAGGACAUGCAGAUUUGCGCACAACAGCCCUCUGGAGGGUCCCGGGGGAAACCUCACCCAGCAGCUUCUGGGAUCCUCCUGAAGACUGUCUCAUAGCAAGUUGCCAGCCGCUGAAUGCAGCACUGUCCUUAAUUCCUGGCUUGUGUGCCAAAUUUUUAUCCCGGAUCAAACUGAGGGUCAGGCUGCUAUUUCUCGCGGCACAAUAACAAGAUGCAGAUGAACUGGGGAGGAAGAGAGUUUUUAUUUCUGUAACCGGUUAUAGGGAGAAGACCUGGAAAUUAUCACCAGACCAACUCAAAAUUACAGUUUUCCAAAGCUUAUAUACCUUCUAAGCUAUUCAUCUACAUACAAAGAAACAGUACAAGAAGGAAUCUCAGAACAUCAAGAAGGAAGAAAGAACACAGUAAACAAAAAUAUGGGCUGGAGUGCAAUGAAUGGUGCAAUCUCAGCUCACCACAACCUCCACCUCCUAGGUUCAAGCGAUUCUCCUGCCUCAGCCUCUCAAGUAACUGGGAUUACAGAUGUGGAAUCUAAAACCUUGCUGAGAAACUGCCUCCAAUGUUGCUCCCUUAACUUUCACUGUGGAAAACUCUGAAGGAAGUUGGCCGCACCAUUUAAUGGAAGCAUGAGGAACUAGUCUCUUUCCUUUAGAUAUGUAUGAAAAUGGCUCCACUGUGACUCAGCAGAUGGCUCCACUGUGACUCAGCAGAUCUCCAGGAUUUUCCUGUGUAGUUUCUGUUUUGGCUUUCAUCUGGUGGGAACUGACUGCUACAGGACCGAGGCUUUUAAAUCAAACCCAAAUAACAAAAUGUAUUUAGAGCUGAAAAAGGUGGUGCCAUCAGGCUGGGGUGGGGAUGAGGAAGUGAUUCAUUACCCCAGUUGGAAUGUAAAUUCAAUGAGUUUAAUUACUAGUGGUGUCAAAAAAGGAUUUUCACUGAUAGC